Long non-coding RNA from Esox lucius (northern pike), 2511 nucleotides. The record is from Ensembl. NCBI's taxonomy places the organism in Eukaryota, Metazoa, Chordata, Actinopteri, Esociformes, Esocidae.
CUAGACACUGGUGUCGUCUUAUCCUCUGGACUCUCCUCCUCCUCCGCCCCACUCAGCUCCGGCUCCUCCUCAGGCUCCUCCGGCUCGGGGGUUGGUGGCGGAGGCAUCUCUUCCUCCUUGCUCCUUACACACUCCUCCAAUUUCGGCUGCUCCUCCUUUUCCCUCUUUGGCCUGCGGCCCCUCCUGGGCGGCGCAGGCGCCGGCGGGCUUUUCACCGGCGGCGCCGCAGGGGCGGAGUUUCGCUUUGGAGUCGGCGCCGAUACGCCGGCGCUUUUGUUGGCCGCGGUCGACUGAGCAGCCGGGGGCGGGGAGAGCGAGAGCGAGAAGGACACCGCCCCCGAGGAACUCCGAGUGGCCGGCGCCUCCCUCUCCCUGGAGAAGAAAGGGGGCGGGGCGGUGGCCGUGGCGGAGGAGGAGGGCUGCGGAGAGGCGAAGGUGUGGCCUUGCACAGGGGAGGGGUGAGGGCGGGACGAGGCGGAGGUGGUGUGUGUGCGGAGCGCGGCCAGCUCCAUGGCGGCCCUGACCUCGGGCUGGUUGGCGUGGUGCUUCUCCAGGUGGCGCGCCAGCGAGCGGUAGUGGCGGCCACAGUACGGGCAACGCUGCCUCCUGCUGACCGUGGCCGCGCCGGAACCGCCGAUGUUGAUGUUGAUGUUGUUGUUGAUGUUGGUGGUGGGCUGCGGCGCCAGGGCGCUGGGCUGCCCCGGGGUCCGGGCGGGCACUGAGGAGGAGGCGGACGCCAGGCGUGAGAAGGAGGACGAGCAGGGGCGCCCGGGUACCGACCUGGGGCCUGCGGUGCUCUUCUUCUUGGUGCCGGCGACGGCGGCUGCCAUUUUGCGCUUCUUCCGGCGGCGGAGCAUGCGGCCCCGCAGCUCCUCCAUGUCCUCCUCCUCGUCGUCGUCGUCAUCGUCUUCCUCCUCCUCCUCAUCCUCCUCGCGGUCCGAGUCGCUGGGCUCAGAGUGGGUGAGCGGAGAGGAGGAGGGGGACAGAGACCAGGAUGGCGUGAGGUAGUCGGACAGAGACAGAGGGUGGGGCCCUGGUUCCUCUUCCUGACAGUGAUAGAAAAAAAAAAGAGAGAGACGAACAUUGUAAAUGCCCCCCCCCCAUAACCAUAAAAAUGUCCUAAAAUGGACUUGAGGUAUGUGGGGGCCGGGACACUUUUCAUUACCUUCUUAACGUUAUUGUCUGGGUUACAGCUGCAGACUAACACUCGCCGUGCCACAGGGUUACGAAACCCCUAGGACAUUCACGACACAACCAAAAGGGUUCAACAGGGCGCAAAGGGCGUCCCAGCGCCGAGGCCAUCACACUGGCCGUCACAAUGCUCUUUACUUGGACAGGACAAGGAGACAACGCUCAGCCAGCAAUGCUCACUGACGUACAACGUCAAUGUUGAGAUGUACUGGAUUGCCGUGACGACUGACGUCAUGACCCCUGACCUCUCAAUCGCCGGCUAAAUAUCGGAGAACGGCCGAAAUUGCGGCGCUACGAGGAAAACGGACGCCUUUUAAGCAGCGAGUCAUAGUCACCAUGUUGUUCUCUCCCCAGUCCGUCAGGCUGUAGUCCACGGUGAUCUCCUCCCCCUUGGCGAUGUCGCGGAUCGCUAUGACGACCAAUCGCACCUGGCUCCCACAAUGCACCUCGCGGAUCCUGCAGUUGGGCGUGGCGUGGAAGAGAACCGGACCCCGGACCCCGCUCGCGCCCUCCUCUCCCAGCUCAGACACACUGGACCAGGAAACAGACCAACGUCAGGCUCCACCCACCCACCAUCAGACCGGUCCCGGAGACACACCUCCAGACACCCACACUAAGAGGCAGGUAUUUUGGAUACACGAGAACUAUAACAUUUCACCAAGAAUUUGCUAUACAUUAAAGGCCCGAAUGAAAUACGCAUUUCGGAUAAUGGUCGUUGAAGACCUCGGCCUCAGACAAAAAAACACAACUGCUCAUUAGAUGACCAUUUCAGACCUGCCGGUUGAUAUGUUGUACACAUGCUAAACAGAGCUUUUCUGAUAUAGUAGGACAUGUACAGUAUGUGGUUUUAGUAUGCAGCAAGAAAGGCAGCCGUCCGGAAUGUCCCGCUCAUUCCUCCCCAUACUCGGAAUCCGCCCAACGGGAUAUUGGAAAAAAUAAAUAAUUUAUGGAAUGCUCCUGGAAUCUGGCAACACAAGACACAACGGAUUUCAGUGUCUAAGUGAGGGGCAGAGAAUGGAAGAAACUCUGGAGGAACCAGGCCCCUACUGGUUCAUGAAUCUACUGACCACCUCCGGAGCACUGCCAAAACAAGACGUCGAAAUCGUUACAAACGUUGCCAGGUGUCACUGGUUUACGGCGGUUCUCGGCCCUGAACGAUUCUACUGAAAUAAAGUUUACAAAAGCCUGUUUUUCGAAUAAUGGUUUCCAAAAACAAUCAUCACCACCCCCACCCCAACUAAACUCACCAGAGCUGGGUGGGAUCAGCCAGGUAGUAAGGGCUUCCAGGUGGGGGCAGUCUGUCCUCCGCUCCCUCUGGAU